CGAUAGCUCGAUGGUGCGUCAGGCCUUUCAAUCCCUGGGACCAUAAUCUUCUGUCGGGAACUGCCUCUGUGCAGACUGCGGUCUGUGUAUUGCGGUGCCCACCUGUAUCACAGGUCACAGAGGAUGAAACAUGUCAACGGCUUGUCUGGCUAUCGU
This 156-nucleotide non-coding RNA is filed under the name Alphaproteobacteria bacterium. Its description in RNAcentral is "6S RNA". It matches the Rfam family "6S / SsrS RNA". From Rfam's summary of the family: E. coli 6S RNA was the first non coding RNA to be sequenced, but its function was unknown until recently. It consists of 184 nucleotides that fold into an extended hairpin structure with a large single-stranded internal bulge. Lineage: Bacteria; Pseudomonadati; Pseudomonadota; Alphaproteobacteria. RNAcentral also lists the same sequence under 2 other names. The record is from RNAcentral.